AACUGCUUAGCACAGGAUUUAGUAAGCACAUAUGGUUAGUAGGUGGUAACUACUAUUAACAUGGCAUUCAAGAUCCUUCAUAGUUUAGCCUCUCCCUGCCUUUCCAGCUUCACCUCCUGCCUCAUCGUCCUAUUCUAGUAUCACUUUUCAAUUCUUCGUCGUGCCUGCCUGCUUUUCCUUCUUAGGAUUCUUUUCCUUACUUGUCUACCUGGCCAAAUUCUGGUUCUAUAGGUUCUAUAAGACAGUAAAGUCUUCUCAGUCGCCAAUCUCUCUUCCUGGCACAGUUUCCAUAAACACGGAGGUCAUGCCGCCUUGAUUCUCUGGAAUAGUUCCAAUAUCAAAUAGUCUGUGGUAUUGUCAAGACCCUGUAUCAACUUCUCUUCCUAUCUUUUAUUCUGAGAGUAUGAUUGUCAACCCAUAGCACUUGUACAUACUCUAUGAUGGCAGCUAUUACAUUUUACUCUAAUGAUUUAUGGGGCUGCCUCUCUCAUUAGUCUGUGAUCUUUUUGAGGGCGAGCACUUUAUCUUCACUUGGUAUACCAGGAACUCUCAUGGUGCCUAGGACAUUGUUGGGGCUAAAUAAUGUCAAUUCAGUGAAUGAAUUAAUGAAUGACAAUUGAAUGAAUAAGGUACUCAUCCUCUUAUUUUGUGUCUACGUUGAUCUUGCUUGCCCCUAGCCCCCUCCAUUCUGACCUUAGGGACUAUUCUAAGAUAUGAUAAAAUCUGUGUGUGUAUGCAUGUGUGUGCACACUCACGUUAUUUCUGUCAAAUCUGUAUACGUGGACCUAUUUUGAAAUCACCAGAUUGCUCUACUUUUCCAAAAUAUAUAUUGGUGAACUCCUUUUUCAGUUUCCUUGGAGCACCAAGCCAACAUGUCCUGCUUUGCCUCUGCCUCCACACCCUGCCACGUCACCCCAGGUCUUCUAUGCCAGGAAUGUUACUGGGGAAGAGUGGCUCUGUGACUCAGAGGACACCCCAGGGAUUGAGUGGGAGUGGAGGCAGAGAUAAUGUAAAGGGGGAAAAGAUGAGAGACACCCUGGCCCCACUUUUUGAAUUUUGCUUUCAUUCCUUCAUAUAUUCAGGAGACAUGUAUUAUGCACCUACUUUGUGCCAGGCACAAAGAUGCUUGAGAUAUAAAAUGCUUGAGAUAUGAAAAUCGGUAAGAUGUAAUCUUUGCCCUGAAAUAUUCAGUCUUGUGAGGAAGACAAACAAGUAAACAGACUGACAUAAUACCAUGUAGUAGGAGUAAUAGCAGCCAUUUUCUGGUACAUAAAGAGAAACAAAGACCCCUAAGAAGCUACAAAACAGGGAUCUCUUCUUUUCAGGAGGGCUGAAAUCAAUUCAUAGAUCAAAUCCCAGGGAGAAGAUCCCUCUAUUUGACCUACUGCCUGUAUGAGUCAGGGCUUUAUUGGUCUAUUUCCAAUUUUUAAAUCAGAAACAGCUUUAGUUCUACACCAGCUGAUUUUUAAAAUAACUCAGGAAACGGUAGCAACUCCAUGCCUUUUAUGGAAACAAGUAUAAUUUAUUCAAUAAAUAUUUAUUUGACCUAUGAGCCAAAUCCUGUGCUAGACAGUGUGCUCCCACCUGUCUAGUUCCUGUACUGUUAGUUGGGUGGAGGGGUAUAUGUAUAGGCAACUGUAAAAUACUUCAGUGUCGUUCAAUUCCAUUGCUAUUGAAUGAAAUGGCAACGCAAUCAUGUAGUUUGUCUACUUUCAUACCCAAUGGAAUAUGAAUAAUCCAGCAAGUGGCAGCAGGGAAACAAUUAUUUCUAUCUUGAGAGAGGGGUAGAAGGCAGAGGAAAAUAGGCAGUGGUAGUCUCUGGACUUCAUGGUCCUAGGUUCCCUUUCGAGGACCCGGAAGACAUCCGGAUAGAGGAUAACCAGGCCAUCUUGGGGGCUGCAAACCAAGACCCCCCCACACACAAUUUCUCUUCAUUUAUUAAUUUCACAAAUAAUUAUUGAGCCGCUACCAUGUACAGGCUCACAAGAUGGGAGGAGCUGGAGAUACAAGAGUGAAACAGUCUUUGCUUUUCAGCAGCUUACAGUCCGAUCAGUCUUCAGCUCCCCAUCUGGUUUUCACAAUCUCCAGGGUACUUUAUUAAUCCGAACGCUAGACUAGAAUGGGGAAUUUCUCUGUGCAGUUCGGUGCACUGAUUAACAGAACCAAGGGUUUGCGGAAUUUCUCUGUGCAGUUCGGUGCACUGAUUAACAGAACCAAGGGUUUGCCUGGAUCGCAGAUUGUGAUAUGGUCGCCUUUCGUGGCUUUUUCUGAGAGGUCUUCUGAAUUCCAUAACUGUGCCCAGCAUUGCGCUUGAAGCAAAGUGUAGAUCUGUUUUGAAUGUCAUUCAGAGGAAGGCAAGACAAGCACGCAUGUUAAGCCAAACAGUAAACAAGCAGUAAAGCCGGAAGAAUAGUCGCAUGUGAUGUUUUGUGAUAUUCAAGGGCUUAACGUCGCUGAGUUGACAACAGCGCCUCGGUGGGGAGCUCUAACCCUGGGCUCUAAAAUUGAAGGCCAGCCGGGCAGACUCUUACUUAUCCCGAGCUCCGGCAACUCAGCCGGGUCCUUUCACAGAGACGAAUUUAACUGGACCCACAGAGCCACCGUAGCGCUGGUUCACAGUCGGGGAAGAGCUUGUCUUCGACCUGUGGAUUCGUUAGGGCUAGAGGAACCCGUGUAAUGUGACCAACACCAGCCUUCCGAUUGGCUCUCAGGGCCUCCCUCUUCUCCCCCCCCCCCAUUGAGUGGGCGGGAACGCUGGAAAGGUUACGCGCAUGAGCAGUUCCCGGAUUUCCCCUGGCCACCGAGUGGAGCAGUGAGGUUGGGCGAUAAACAGGCUGUGGCUGGGGAGGAGGGGCGGGGGCAUUUGUUCCUCUGGGACUUUUCACGCCCCCUAUUUCGUUAGGUGUGGUUAGGUUCGGACGCGGGGUCUUGGCGGCCGGCUGGAGCCUACUUCUUUGUGAAAGGGGAAAGUAGCUCCCUCGGAGCACUGGUGAAGUUGCGGAGCGGGUGCGAGACGGCGGUUUUCCCCUAUGCCAGCCAAAUGGUGCGGCCUUGAGCUGUUUCAGGACCCAGCCCGACGUGUCUGAGAGAGGCCCCGGAGGGGGCAGGGAGGUGGCCCGCAGAACGUGGGUUCUGUGAAGAGACGUGGAGAAAAUUCGACUCGGAGAAGAGGAAGAGCCCGAUUGAAAGGGAGCGAGGCCGCUGAGGGGGAGGGGGCUGCCAAGAUGGCGUCGGCCUCCUCAGGGCCGUCGUCGGUCGGGUUUUCAUCCGCGGAUCCCGGCGUCCCUUCCUGCGCCUCGUCCUCAGGUUUCAACUUUCUGUGCUGUGGGGUCAGCCGUAAGAGAGCAUCUGGAAUCAAGAGACCCAUGGCAUCUGAGGUGCCAUAUGCCUCUGGCAUGCCCAUGAAGAAAAUAGGCCACCGAGGUGUUGAUUCCUCAGGAGAGACGACAUAUAAAAAGACAACCUCAUCUGCCUUGAAAGGUGCCAUCCAGUUAGGCAUUACUCACACUGUGGGAAGCCUGAGUACCAAACCAGAGCGUGAUGUCCUCAUGCAAGACUUCUAUGUGGUGGAGAGUAUCUUCUUUCCCAGUGAAGGGAGCAACUUGACUCCUGCUCAUCACUACAAUGACUUUCGCUUCAAAACCUAUGCACCUGUUGCCUUCCGUUACUUUCGGGAGUUAUUUGGUAUCCGGCCUGAUGAUUACUUGUACUCCCUCUGCAGUGAGCCACUGAUUGAACUCUGCAGCUCUGGGGCCAGUGGUUCCCUCUUCUAUGUGUCCAGUGACGAUGAAUUCAUCAUUAAAACGGUCCAGCAUAAAGAGGCGGAGUUUCUGCAGAAGCUGCUUCCAGGAUACUACAUGAACCUCAACCAGAACCCUCGCACUUUGCUGCCUAAAUUCUAUGGACUGUACUGUGUGCAGGCAGGUGGUAAGAACAUUCGAAUUGUGGUGAUGAACAAUCUCUUACCACGGUCAGUCAAGAUGCACAUCAAAUAUGACCUCAAGGGCUCAACCUACAAACGGCGGGCUUCCCAAAAAGAGCGAGAGAAGCCUCUACCCACCUUUAAAGACCUGGACUUCUUACAAGACAUUCCAGAUGGUCUGUUUUUGGAUGCUGAUAUGUACAAUGCUCUAUGUAAGACCUUACAGCGUGACUGUUUGGUGCUGCAGAGCUUCAAGAUAAUGGACUAUAGCCUCUUGAUGUCAAUCCAUAACAUAGAUCAUGCCCAACGAGAGCCCUUAGGCAAUGAAACACAGUAUUCAGUUGAUACUCGCAGACCAGCCCCCCAAAAGGCUCUCUAUUCCACAGCUAUGGAAUCUAUCCAGGGCGAGGCUCGGCGAGGUGGUACCAUGGAGACUGAUGACCAUAUGGGUGGCAUCCCGGCCCGCAAUAGUAAAGGGGAAAGGCUGCUGCUUUAUAUUGGGAUCAUUGACAUUCUUCAGUCUUACAGGUUUGUUAAGAAGUUGGAGCACUCUUGGAAAGCUCUGGUACAUGAUGGGGACACCGUAUCGGUGCAUCGGCCAGGCUUCUAUGCUGAACGGUUCCAACGCUUCAUGUGCAACACAGUGUUCAAGAAGAUACCCUGCGUCCACUUCGGUCGUCCUGAUGUUUUACCUCAGACUCCACCUUUGGAGAAAAUCAGUGAGGUCACGACUAUUCCUGACCCCUAUUUCUCACCUGUAGUUGGAGAGACUUUACAAAUGCAAACUACAAGCAUUCAGUUCCUUGUGGGUUACUGGACAGAGGGCAUUAGUUCCUCACCAGCUGUUGGCUGGGGACCUCCCUGUUCUUUGCCACGUGAGCCUCUCUGUUAGGACAACUCAGCACAUAGCAGCUGGCUUCUCUCAAGAUUCAAUCCUCUUGGAAAAGCCUGAAGUUGCAGAGUCAGAGUUCACCCAUUGAGCAAAAAAAUUCAGAAGACUUAGAACAAGAUUCUACCAGCUUCGUGAUCCCAAGAUGCCAGCCCUUGCCCCAGCAAUGCUGAG
RNA transcript from Acinonyx jubatus (cheetah), 4985 nucleotides. It is a transcript of the gene named phosphatidylinositol-4-phosphate 5-kinase type 1 alpha, with no coding region annotated. The transcript is spliced from 16 exons. NCBI's taxonomy places the organism in Eukaryota, Metazoa, Chordata, Mammalia, Carnivora, Felidae. The record is from RefSeq and is a predicted model, not a curated record.